UGGAGUUGUAUUUGUUUUGAGUUGUCUAAUUUUUCAUCUAGUGUGGCUUUUUCUUUUCUUUUUGUCUUGGUUAUGUUUUUUAUUUUGAGAUCUUUGGUAUAAUUGGUUUGAACAUAUAUUUUGAGGUGAUCUCGUGCUUUGCAAUUAUGGUGUUGUUUCAUAAACACUUUUUUUUUUUUUUGUAUUUAAUAAAAUUCACUUGCUGAUGAAAUAUAUAUGUUGUAUAACCUUUCCGGAUUUCCA
This 243-nucleotide long non-coding RNA is filed under the name Gossypium raimondii (Peruvian cotton). Its description in RNAcentral is "long non-coding RNA (GRAI_LNC000805)". The record is from RNAcentral. Lineage: Eukaryota; Viridiplantae; Streptophyta; Magnoliopsida; Malvales; Malvaceae.